GAAUAUUGGACAAUGGGGGGAACCCUGAUCCAGCCAUGCCGCGUGUGUGAAGAAGGCCUUUUGGUUGUAAAGCACUUUAAGGGAGGAGGAGGCUAAUCUAGUUAAUACCUAGAGAUAGUGGACGUUACUCGCAGAAUCAGCACAGGCUAACUCUGUGCCAACAGCCGCGGUAAUACAGAGGGGGCAAACGUUAAUCGGAUUUACUGGGCGUAAAGCGCGCGUAGGUGGCCAAUUCAGUCAAAUGUGAAAUCCCCGAGCUUAACUUGGGAAUUGCAUUCGAUACUGGUUGGCUAGAGUAUGGGAGAGGAUGGUAGAAUUCCAGGUGUAGCGGUGAAAUGCGUAGAGAUCUGGAGGAAUACCGAUGGCGAAGGCAGCCAUCUGGCCUAAUACUGACACUGAGGUGCGAAAGCAUGGGGAGCAAAC
RNAcentral lists this ribosomal RNA (423 nucleotides) under uncultured bacterium. Its description in RNAcentral is "bacterial SSU rRNA". It matches the Rfam family "Bacterial small subunit ribosomal RNA", at positions 359 to 773 of the family's 1533-position model. The record is from RNAcentral.